GGGCACCUACGGGGGCCUUUAACAUCCGGUCGCGCGAAACAUGCGGGGCCGUCAAGCAAACGGAAGACAGUGA
This is a regulatory RNA element of Jannaschia sp. CCS1, 73 nucleotides long. It matches the Rfam family "L2-Alphaproteobacteria ribosomal protein leader". Lineage: Bacteria; Pseudomonadati; Pseudomonadota; Alphaproteobacteria; Rhodobacterales; Roseobacteraceae. The record is from Rfam.